This 699-nucleotide ribosomal RNA is filed under the name Paenibacillus dendritiformis. RNAcentral describes it as "bacterial SSU rRNA". It matches the Rfam family "Bacterial small subunit ribosomal RNA", at positions 71 to 754 of the family's 1533-position model. Lineage: Bacteria; Bacillati; Bacillota; Bacilli; Caryophanales; Paenibacillaceae. The record is from RNAcentral.
AUGGAGUGCUUGCACUCCUGAUGCUUAGCGGCGGACGGGUGAGUAAUACGUAGGUAACCUGCCCUUAAGACCGGGAUAACUCACGGAAACGUGGGCUAAUACCGGAUAGGCGAUUUCCUCGCAUGAGGGAAUCGGGAAAGGCGGAGCAAUCUGCCACUUAUGGAUGGACCUACGGCGCAUUAGCUAGUUGGUGGGGUAACGGCUCACCAAGGCGACGAUGCGUAGCCGACCUGAGAGGGUGAUCGGCCACACUGGGACUGAGACACGGCCCAGACUCCUACGGGAGGCAGCAGUAGGGAAUCUUCCGCAAUGGACGCAAGUCUGACGGAGCAACGCCGCGUGAGUGAUGAAGGUUUUCGGAUCGUAAAGCUCUGUUGCCAGGGAAGAACGCUAUGGAGAGUAACUGUUCCAUAGGUGACGGUACCUGAGAAGAAAGCCCCGGCUAACUACGUGCCAGCAGCCGCGGUAAUACGUAGGGGGCAAGCGUUGUCCGGAAUUAUUGGGCGUAAAGCGCGCGCAGGCGGUCAUGUAAGUCUGGUGUUUAAACCCGGGGCUCAACUCCGGGUCGCAUCGGAAACUGUGUGACUUGAGUGCAGAAGAGGAAAGUGGAAUUCCACGUGUAGCGGUGAAAUGCGUAGAGAUGUGGAGGAACACCAGUGGCGAAGGCGACUUUCUGGGCUGUAACUGACGCUGAGGCGC